CAUAUGCGUGAUAAAUGUAUUAAAUGCACGUGAAUAAUCCAAUUUAUUGACAAUUAAUGGAUCAUAUUCAAUGCAUGUGGAAUAUCACUUCAAAAGAACUCAGACCAUGAAAAGCAAACACAUCUCCUCUCUCUCACCUUAGUUCACCAUCUCCGCCGCGCCACAGGCUCCCUCGGCGGCGAAGAUUUCCAUAAAUAAAAAUUCUAACAAUCAAACUCUUCCUCUCAAUAUCCUCUACACAGAUUCUGUCUCAAUUUCUACUAAUUCGAACCCUAAUGUCUAAACUGAAGUGUUUACCUCAAGAACCCUAAAUCAUAAAUCAUAAAUUAAAUCUCAAUAAAGCCCAAUCUCGAUCCAUAGCCAUAGGUUUAAUUCUCCUCCGCCUCUAAACAAUCAUCUGGUAAUGACAAUUGAAGCGAAUCAGAAGGUUUAAUGAACUUACUUGAGCGACUUAAGGACGUAGAUGCAAUAAGAAUUACACUUCCAACCACAUAAGAUAUGGAAACAUGAAGGAAUGAUGGAACAAGGCAUGAGAAAAGGGGACUUGCACUUGAAGAAAGAUGGUGAGGUUUUGGAUCAUGGCAAGACCAAGUGAAACAUUCAAGUGAAAAAUGGACAUUAGGUUUUAGGAUGGUCAAAGUGCAUUAGUUGACUUUGGUCAAUUGGUUGACCAAAAAGUCAAUAGUUGACCAAAAGUCAACUUAGGUAAAAAUGUGUAUUUUUGUGUAAUCUAUUAUGGACAAUUGUGAUGUAAUUGUAAUGAUAUGUAAUGAUACUUUAUGAUGAAAUGAAUGGUAUUGACAUGUUUUGAAAUGAA
Long non-coding RNA from Lathyrus oleraceus (garden pea), 817 nucleotides. RefSeq lists it as uncharacterized. NCBI's taxonomy places the organism in Eukaryota, Viridiplantae, Streptophyta, Magnoliopsida, Fabales, Fabaceae. The transcript has 2 exons. The record is from RefSeq and is a predicted model, not a curated record.